RNAcentral lists this ribosomal RNA (253 nucleotides) under uncultured bacterium. RNAcentral describes it as "partial 16S ribosomal RNA". It matches the Rfam family "Bacterial small subunit ribosomal RNA", at positions 524 to 776 of the family's 1533-position model. The record is from RNAcentral.
UACAGAGGUGGCAAGCGUUGUUCGGAAUUACUGGGCGUAAAGGGCGCGUAGGCGGUCCUGUAAGUCCCGCGUGAAAUCCCCCGGCUCAACUGGGGAACGGCGCGGGAGACUGCGGGGCUUGAGUUCGGGAGAGGGAAGCGGAAUUCCGGGUGUAGCGGUGAAAUGCGUAGAUAUCGGAAGGAACAUCAGUGGCGAAAGCGACUUCCUGGACCAAUACUGACGCUCAUGUGCGAAAGCGUGGGGAGCAAACAGG